Molecule: long non-coding RNA, 1440 nt
Organism: Zalophus californianus (California sea lion)
Lineage: Eukaryota; Metazoa; Chordata; Mammalia; Carnivora; Otariidae
Exons: 8
Source: RefSeq, a predicted model, not a curated record
GCCUGCGGCCCUGGCUGCUCGGCUGCCGGCCCGCUCCGCCCCGCCGCCGCUUCCUGCCUCCCCGGUCGCGGCCGCCCGCGCCCGCCGCCACCUGCCCGCCGCCUCCCCGCCGACUCUUGCGGACCUUUUUGCCACUUUGUCACCCGCCCCCAGCUCCAGUAUUGCCGCUUCGACUGCACUGGUAUAAAAGUUGGUAACUCUGUCGUUAAAGCCACUGUUUUCUUAAGCGUCUCACACUAGCCCUGGCGAAGAAACACUGUGUGGGACUUCUCUCCUGAUGGGAAAUGGUCGGGCAUCCUGGUUAUUUGCAAACUUGUCCUAAUUCUCCUGUUAGACUUCUAGCUCCUUGAGAAGCAGACCUUGGAACUUUAAGGAGUUGAUAAUAAGUGAGAAUGGAUAAAGAGACAUGUUUACCUGUAAAUGGCUGCAGAUAACCAAGGCACAGUGCUGGGCAUUGAGAUCAUAAUGGUGGUGAGCAAACUCAGACAGAACCCUGUCAUCAUAGAAAUUACCGCUCCAAGAAGGAGGAGGUGGCCCUAAAUCAAAAACAAAUGCGUGAUUAGAAACAGUAGAAAAGGUUGCCAACUGUCACCCCAGAGCCACAGCAGGGGGCAUGGAAAAAUUGGAUGCGUACGGGAGCUGGAAACCGUUCUCCUAUCUACUGGGCAUUAUCUCAAGCACCAAAUGGGCUGACCGAGGACAAACAUCAGUACGAGGGGCUCAGCCCUGAAAAUUCCCUGGCAGUGUUGGACAUUAAUUUAAGAUGCAGUCAUUACAUAAAUGGACAAACUGACCCUAAAUUUCAAUGGACCAGAAUAGAUAAAACAAUCCUCAAAAGAAAAAACAAAUUUGGAAGACUCACACUUCCCAAUUUCAAAACCUACUACAAAGCUACAGAAAUCAAAGAGGAGCUAAUGUUGCCUCUGUGAUCAGAGAACAACAGCAAUAAACUUUUGGAAAAACUGAAAAGGACGUGCCAAAGGAGCUGAGGGUUCAGGCUGAAGGGGCCUACAGCCAUGUCCGGGUCCCAGAGUUUGCAACUGUAGGUUCAAUGCUCUUCAUCCUCUGCCUUCUUAGUACAUUCAAGGAGUUGAGGUGGCCAAAAAAGGUUGGGGACCUGGAAACCUCCCUGAGUAGGACUUUCUUUGUUUAAUGAUCAACAUUGUGGUUGUGCAUUUUUAAAAAAAAUACUGCUGCCAGGCCCUUCCCCCAGAGGCCCUGCUUCAGUGGGUCUGGGGUGGGGCCCAGAUCCUAUUUGGAAACUGCCCAGGUGAGAGUUACUGUUUGAUGGGGAUGGAGUUUCUGUUUGGGAAGAUGAAGCUCUGGAGAUGGACAGUGGUUGUGGUUGUACAACCUUGUCAAUGUACUCAAUUGCCGCUGUCUUGUACACCUACAAGGAGUGGAAUGGUAAAGGUUGUGUUAUGUAUAUUUUACCACAAU